GACGAACGCUGGCGGCGUGCUUAACACAUGCAAGUCGAACGGAAAGACCCUGCUUUUGUGGGGUGCUCGAGUGGCGAACGGGUGAGUAACACGUGAGUAACCUGCCCUUGACUUUGGGAUAACUUCAGGAAACUGGGGCUAAUACCGGAUAGGAGCUCCUGCUGCAUGGUGGGGGUUGGAAAGUUUCGGCGGUUGGGGAUGGACUCGCGGCUUAUCAGCUUGUUGGUGGGGUAGUGGCUUACCAAGGCUUUGACGGGUAGCCGGCCUGAGAGGGUGACCGGCCACAUUGGGACUGAGAUACGGCCCAGACUCCUACGGGAGGCAGCAGUGGGGAAUAUUGCACAAGGGGCGGAAGCCUGAUGCAGCAACGCCGCGUGCGGGAUGACGGCCUUCGGGUUGUAAACCGCUUUCGCCUGUGACGAAGCGUGAGUGACGGUAAUGGGUAAAGAAGCACCGGCUAACUACGUG
This 468-nucleotide ribosomal RNA is filed under the name uncultured bacterium. RNAcentral's name for it is "partial 16S ribosomal RNA". It matches the Rfam family "Bacterial small subunit ribosomal RNA", at positions 28 to 507 of the family's 1533-position model. The record is from RNAcentral.